Molecule: ribosomal RNA, 1001 nt
Filed under: Synergistetes bacterium oral taxon 359
Lineage: Bacteria; Thermotogati; Synergistota
Description: bacterial SSU rRNA
Rfam family: Bacterial small subunit ribosomal RNA
Source: RNAcentral
GAUGAACGCUGGCGGCGUGCGUAACACAUGCAAGUUGAACGACGAUGCCAUGAAGUGGUAACACGGAGUGGUAUACGGAGUAGCGGACGGGUGAGUAAAGCAUGAGAAUCUGUCCUGUCGAGGGGGAUAACGUUCGGAAACGGACCCUAAUACCCCAUAGUCCGAGAGGUUAAAGGCAGAGAUGCGCGAUGGGAGGUACUCGUGUCCUAUCAGCUAGUUGGUGAGGUAACGGCUCACCAAGGCGACAACGGGUAGCCGGCCUGAGAGGGUGACCGGCCACACUGGAACUGAGAUACGGUCCAGACUCCUACGGGAGGCAGCAGUGGGGAAUACUGGGCAAUGGGAGGAAUCCUGACCCAGCGACGCCGCGUGAACGAAGACGGCCUUCGGGUUGUAAGUUCUUUUAUGUGGGAAGAAGGAAGUGACGGUACCACAUGAAUAAGCCCCGGCUAACUACGUGCCAGCAGCCGCGGUAAUACGUAGGGGGCGAGCGUUGUCCGGAAUUACUGGGCGUAAAGGGCACGCAGGCUGUGCUUCAAGUCAGCUGUAAAAGGGUGCGGCUUAACCGUGUUAUGCAGUUGAGACUGAGGUGCUGGAGUACCGGAGAGGCAAGUGGAAUUCCCAGUGUAGCGGUGAAAUGCGUAGAUAUUGGGAAGAACAUCGGUGGCGAAGGCGACUUGCUGGACGGUAACUGACGCUGAGGUGCGAAAGCCAGGGUAGCGAACGGGAUUAGAUACCCCGGUAGUCCUGGCUGUAAACGAUGAAUGCUAGGUGUGCGAGCAGAGAUGUUGGUGUGCCGCAGUUAACGCGAUAAGCAUUCCGCCUGGGGAGUACGGUCGCAAGAUUGAAACUCAAAGGAAUUGACGGGGGCCCGCACAAGCGGUGAGCACGUGGUUUAAUUCGAUGCAAACCGAAGAACCUUACCUGGGUUUGACAUGUAUGUGGUAGGAGCCGGAAACGGUGACGACGCUGCUUUCGGGUAGUGAGCAUGCACAGGUGCU